This 253-nucleotide ribosomal RNA is filed under the name uncultured bacterium. Its description in RNAcentral is "partial 16S ribosomal RNA". It matches the Rfam family "Bacterial small subunit ribosomal RNA", at positions 524 to 776 of the family's 1533-position model. The record is from RNAcentral.
UACGUAGGGGGCAAGCGUUGUCCGGAAUCAUUGGGCGUAAAGAGCGUGUAGGCGGCUCGGUAAGUCCGCUGUGAAAUCCCCGAGCUCAACUUGGGAAUUGCAGUGGAUACUGGCAAGCUGGAGUAUGGUAGAGGAAGGUGGAAUUCCCGGUGUAGCAGUGAAAUGCGUAGAGAUCGGGAGGAACACCAGUGGCGAAGGCGGCCUUCUGGACCAAUACUGACGCUCAUGCACGAAAGCGUGGGGAGCAAACAGG